RNAcentral lists this ribosomal RNA (2907 nucleotides) under Salmonella enterica subsp. enterica serovar Enteritidis. RNAcentral's name for it is "bacterial LSU rRNA". It matches the Rfam family "Bacterial large subunit ribosomal RNA". Lineage: Bacteria; Pseudomonadati; Pseudomonadota; Gammaproteobacteria; Enterobacterales; Enterobacteriaceae. The record is from RNAcentral.
GGGUUGUGAGGUUAAGCGACUAAGCGUACACGGUGGAUGCCCUGGCAGUCAGAGGCGAUGAAGGGCGUGCUAAUCUGCGAUAAGCGCCGGUAAGGUGAUAUGAACCGUUAUAACCGGCGAUACCCGAAUGGGGAAACCCAGUGUGACUCGUCACACUAUCAUUAACUGAAUCCAUAGGUUAAUGAGGCGAACCGGGGGAACUGAAACAUCUAAGUACCCCGAGGAAAAGAAAUCAACCGAGAUUCCCCCAGUAGCGGCGAGCGAACGGGGAGGAGCCCAGAGCCUGAAUCAGCAUGUGUGUUAGUGGAAGCGUCUGGAAAGGCGCGCGAUACAGGGUGACAGCCCCGUACACAAAAGCGCAUGUGCUGUGAGCUCGAUGAGUAGGGCGGGACACGUGGUAUCCUGUCUGAAUAUGGGGGGACCAUCCUCCAAGGCUAAAUACUCCUGACUGACCGAUAGUGAACCAGUACCGUGAGGGAAAGGCGAAAAGAACCCCGGCGAGGGGAGUGAAAAAGAACCUGAAACCGUGUACGUACAAGCAGUGGGAGCACAGGUUUACCUGUGUGACUGCGUACCUUUUGUAUAAUGGGUCAGCGACUUAUAUUCUGUAGCAAGGUUAACCGAAUAGGGGAGCCGGAGGGAAACCGAGUCUUAAUUGGGCGUUAAGUUGCAGGGUAUAGACCCGAAACCCGGUGAUCUAGCCAUGGGCAGGUUGAAGGUUGGGUAACACUAACUGGAGGACCGAACCGACUAAUGUUGAAAAAUUAGCGGAUGACCUGUGGCUGGGGGUGAAAGGCCAAUCAAACCGGGAGAUAGCUGGUUCUCCCCGAAAGCUAUUUAGGUAGCGCCUCGUGAAUUCAUCUCCGGGGGUAGAGCACUGUUUCGGCUAGGGGGCCAUCCCGGCUUACCAACCCGAUGCAAACUGCGAAUACCGGAGAAUGUUAUCACGGGAGACACACGGCGGGUGCUAACGUCCGUCGUGAAGAGGGAAACAACCCAGACCGCCAGCUAAGGUCCCAAAGUCAUGGUUAAGUGGGAAACGAUGUGGGAAGGCCCAGACAGCCAGGAUGUUGGCUUAGAAGCAGCCAUCAUUUAAAGAAAGCGUAAUAGCUCACUGGUCGAGUCGGCCUGCGCGGAAGAUGUAACGGGGCUAAACCAUGCACCGAAGCUGCGGCAGCGACACUGUGUGUUGUUGGGUAGGGGAGCGUUCUGUAAGCCUGGCUGGAGGUAUCAGAAGUGCGAAUGCUGACAUAAGUAACGAUAAAGCGGGUGAAAAGCCCGCUCGCCGGAAGACCAAGGGUUCCUGUCCAACGUUAAUCGGGGCAGGGUGAGUCGACCCCUAAGGCGAGGCCGAAAGGCGUAGUCGAUGGGAAACGGGUUAAUAUUCCCGUACUUGGUGUUACUGCGAAGGGGGGACGGAGAAGGCUAUGUUGGCCGGGCGACGGUUGUCCCGGUUUAAGCGUGUAGGUGUGUGUUCCAGGUAAAUCCGGUUCACUUUAACACUGAGGCGUGACGACGAGGCACUACGGUGCUGAAGCAACAAAUGCCCUGCUUCCAGGAAAAGCCUCUAAGCAUCAGGUAACAUCAAAUCGUACCCCAAACCGACACAGGUGGUCAGGUAGAGAAUACCAAGGCGCUUGAGAGAACUCGGGUGAAGGAACUAGGCAAAAUGGUGCCGUAACUUCGGGAGAAGGCACGCUGACACGUAGGUGAAGUGAUUUACUCAUGGAGCUGAAGUCAGUCGAAGAUACCAGCUGGCUGCAACUGUUUAUUAAAAACACAGCACUGUGCAAACACGAAAGUGGACGUAUACGGUGUGACGCCUGCCCGGUGCCGGAAGGUUAAUUGAUGGGGUCAGCGCAAGCGAAGCUCCUGAUCGAAGCCCCGGUAAACGGCGGCCGUAACUAUAACGGUCCUAAGGUAGCGAAAUUCCUUGUCGGGUAAGUUCCGACCUGCACGAAUGGCGUAAUGAUGGCCAGGCUGUCUCCACCCGAGACUCAGUGAAAUUGAACUCGCUGUGAAGAUGCAGUGUACCCGCGGCAAGACGGAAAGACCCCGUGAACCUUUACUAUAGCUUGACACUGAACAUUGAGCCUUGAUGUGUAGGAUAGGUGGGAGGCUUUGAAGUGUGGACGCCAGUCUGCAUGGAGCCGACCUUGAAAUACCACCCUUUAAUGUUUGAUGUUCUAACGUGGACCCGUUACCCGGGUUGCGGACAGUGUCUGGUGGGUAGUUUGACUGGGGCGGUCUCCUCCUAAAGAGUAACGGAGGAGCACGAAGGUUGGCUAAUCCUGGUCGGACAUCAGGAGGUUAGUGCAAUGGCAUAAGCCAGCUUGACUGCGAGCGUGACGGCGCGAGCAGGUGCGAAAGCAGGUCAUAGUGAUCCGGUGGUUCUGAAUGGAAGGGCCAUCGCUCAACGGAUAAAAGGUACUCCGGGGAUAACAGGCUGAUACCGCCCAAGAGUUCAUAUCGACGGCGGUGUUUGGCACCUCGAUGUCGGCUCAUCACAUCCUGGGGCUGAAGUAGGUCCCAAGGGUAUGGCUGUUCGCCAUUUAAAGUGGUACGCGAGCUGGGUUUAGAACGUCGUGAGACAGUUCGGUCCCUAUCUGCCGUGGGCGCUGGAGAACUGAGGGGGGCUGCUCCUAGUACGAGAGGACCGGAGUGGACGCAUCACUGGUGUUCGGGUUGUCAUGCCAAUGGCACUGCCCGGUAGCUAAAUGCGGAAGAGAUAAGUGCUGAAAGCAUCUAAGCACGAAACUUGCCCCGAGAUGAGUUCUCCCUGAGACUUUAGGUCUCCUGAAGGAACGUUGAAGACGACGACGUUGAUAGGCCGGGUGUGUAAGCGCAGCGAUGCGUUGAGCUAACCGGUACUAAUGAACCGUGAGGCUUAACCUUACAACGCCGAAG